This 253-nucleotide ribosomal RNA is filed under the name uncultured bacterium. RNAcentral's name for it is "partial 16S ribosomal RNA". It matches the Rfam family "Bacterial small subunit ribosomal RNA", at positions 524 to 776 of the family's 1533-position model. The record is from RNAcentral.
GACAGAGGAGGCAAGCGUUGUUCGGAAUCAUUGGGCUUAAAGGGCGUGCAGGCGGCGGCGCAAGUGUCGAGUGAAAUCCCAUCGCUCAACGAUGGAACGGCUCGGCAAACUGCGUCGCUUGAGGUCGGUAGAGGUGCUCGGAACUCUAGGUGGAGCGGUGAAAUGCGCAGAUAUCAGGAGGAACACCAAUGGCGAAGGCAGCUCGCUGGGACGUGACUGACGCUGAGACGCGAAAGCGUGGGGAGCAAACAGG